AGUGAACGCUGGCGGUAGGCCUAACCCAUGCACGUCGAACGGCAGCACAGUAAGAGCUUGCUCUUACGGGUGGCGAGUGGCGGACGGGUGAGGAAUACAUCGGCAUCUACUUUUUCGCGGGGGAUAACGUAGGGAAACUUACGCUAAUACCGCAUACGACCUACGGGUGAAAGCAGGGGAUCUUCGGACCUUGCGCGAUUGAAUGAGCCGAUGCCGGAUUUGCUAGUUGGCGGGGUAAAGGCCCACCAAGGCGACGAUCCGUAACUGGUCUGAGAGGAUGAGCAGCCACACUGGAACUGAGACACGGGCUAGACUCCUACGGGAGGCAGCAGUGGGGAAUAUUGGACAAUGGGCGCAAGCCUGAUCCAGCCAUACCGCGGGGGUGAAGAAGGCCUUCGGGUUGUAAAGCCCUUUUGUUGGGAAAGAAAAGCAGCAGGUUAAUACCCCGCUGUUCUGACGGUACCCAAAGAAUAAGCACCGGCUAACUUCGUG
Molecule: ribosomal RNA, 492 nt
Filed under: uncultured bacterium
Lineage: Bacteria
Description: partial 16S ribosomal RNA
Rfam family: Bacterial small subunit ribosomal RNA
Source: RNAcentral